GACGUAGGGCGCGAGCGUUGUCCGGAUUUAUUGGGCGUAAAGAGCUCGUAGGCGGCUUGUCGCGUCGAAUGUGAAAUCUCAGGGCUCAACUCUGACAUUGCAUUCGAUACGGGCAGGCUCGAGUUCGGUAGGGGAGAAUGGAAUUCCCGGUGUAGCGGUGAAAUGCGCAGAUAUCGGGAAGAACACCCGUGGCGAAGGCGGUUCUCUGGGACGGUACUGACGCUGAGACGCGAAAGCGUGGGGAGCGAACAGG
RNAcentral lists this ribosomal RNA (253 nucleotides) under uncultured bacterium. RNAcentral describes it as "partial 16S ribosomal RNA". It matches the Rfam family "Bacterial small subunit ribosomal RNA", at positions 524 to 776 of the family's 1533-position model. The record is from RNAcentral.